AUCAGGGGCCUUAGUCUGCUAUUACAAUUGUGUCGGAAUGGUCGAUCAUUGAUCAUUGCAAGAGGGGCGGAGCUAUGUAGGUUGUAUAGCUCUGUCCCUCUUGCACUGCUCAAUGUCGACCAUUCUGACACAAUUGUAAUAGCAGACUAAGGCCCCUGAU
This 160-nucleotide microRNA precursor is filed under the name Spodoptera frugiperda (fall armyworm). Its description in RNAcentral is "microRNA sfr-mir-10454b precursor". Lineage: Eukaryota; Metazoa; Arthropoda; Insecta; Lepidoptera; Noctuidae. The record is from miRBase by way of RNAcentral.